Molecule: long non-coding RNA, 1030 nt
Organism: Pollicipes pollicipes
Lineage: Eukaryota; Metazoa; Arthropoda; Thecostraca; Pollicipedomorpha; Pollicipedidae
Exons: 2
Source: RefSeq, a predicted model, not a curated record
CUGACUACUGCUACUAAGCGUCAACACGUUCACAACGGAUUCCGUGGUUCCGUCGUCUUGUGAAAGCGCUUGGACCGUGGUGUGUUGGGCUUCCGGCACGCUCGCUGCCAGCUUUGCGUCAGAGCAUUUUGUACAGUGCAGUUUGCGAGUGGGGCCCUUUUCCAGCGACACAUUGUGAAUCGCUCACAAGCCUCCGCUCGCUCAUGACAGCUUUUCGCGCACUGACGCCAAUGAUCGGUACGCUAUGCGCAGGUUUAUUUUCCCUGAAUACGUCCCUUUCCUUAUAAAUACAGAGCGGUUAGUUACGCGUGACGUAUAUGAUAGGAGCCGGAAAAUUCAUGAGCAAUGAGGGUUAUCGUUAGUAAAUAUAAGGAAGAGGCCAUUGAAUGGCGCUGUGGUUGCGUCCAUCCAAACUUGGAAAACUAUGCCAUGUGAGCACUGUUGACGUUUCAGAUGAGUACCGGCUGGCUGGAGGUUAUUCCUGUGCGCAAGGCCGAGUCGAACUCAGACCCCUCAGCGGCACUUGGGGCUAUGUCUGUGACGACUCGUGGGAGGAUGUGGACGCGUCAGUUGUCUGCCGAACAUUAGGAUUUAGCGGUGCAAGAGCACACUGCUGCUCCGCGUACGGUGCCGGAGGACCUGAGAACUUCUACAUGGAUGACGUCAAGUGCCGUGGCUCCGAGAGCCACCUGAAGAAUUGUCCUCACAACACCGUGGAUAACUGCAGCCGAGGAGAGGUGGCGGCGGUCACCUGCAGUGGUCCCCAGCAGAACGCCUGAGCCUGAGGCUACAGACUGAGGACUACAACGGCCAGCCUGGCGUUUGCUCGGAAUCAACAAAACAUAAGAUGUCUCACACCGAUGUGACAGAAACUGCUGCAUCCGGCAGCGAGCCUGAUAUCGAUCCACAGUUUUAGAGAGUGGUAAUGGCUUUGGCUCACUUCAGCAUCUUUCCAGGCUGCUGGGAGACUCAGAUCGGGUGCAAUGAUAGACAUAUAGAAAAGGCGAAAUACAAGGCUAUCCCCAUCUCA